RNAcentral lists this long non-coding RNA (5175 nucleotides) under Sus scrofa (pig). RNAcentral describes it as "lncRNA (ENSSSCG00000059316.1)". The record is from RNAcentral. Lineage: Eukaryota; Metazoa; Chordata; Mammalia; Artiodactyla; Suidae.
CACCGGUAUGGAAAAGAUAGGUACUAGUUGACACCAAAAGUAAUGGAAAGAGAGUUCAUGGAUUGCAGAGAAGAAUGGGCAUAGUUGCAAUAGGUGUCUUCUCUUCCUUUUUAUAACCAUUCUCCCAGGGCUGUUAGUUCUGGUAUAUCAGUGCCUUCUUUUCCCCUCCAGUGUUUCCCCCAUCUUGUUUGCAAAAUCUUAAUUAUUAAGUGGAAAUGAAGCAUGGGACAGUUCUUCCUAAGAAAAGAUCUUUGCAACUAUUGUUUUUCUACAUGUUGAGAACAUCUGAAUUUAAAUGAAAUCAUUUUUUAUAACAAAGGCCUAAGAACUAAAGAAAACUAAGUCACUCUUAGGAGAUUAAUAGCCCAUAAUCCUUUUCUACAUCUUACCAGAAAUUGGGUGAUAAUUUAAUUUUGUUUUCUAAUGUAUUAGAAAAGUACGUCAUUUCCUGCCACAGAGGCAUACUGGGUCACAAAAAUGUUCAUUUUUUGAAGCUUUAUUAGAAACCCAACAUAUGAAGAAUUUGUUUAUCACAUGUGUUUCCUAAAGCCAGAUUUUGUUCAGCCAAUUAAUUUUAGGGGGAAAGUAAUUUCUCAUGAACUCGAUCAUCUUUUUUCUCUACUGAAGCCCAGAACACUUUACUUUCAUCAUAUUUAAGAAUCACAAUGAGAAAAGCCUAACCAAAUAUGGAAAAAAAUGGUCAUGUUAAGGUCAAAGUGGGUCAAGCUCCUGAAAGAAUAUUGGCCUCAAGCUGAUAAAGAUAUUUCAUUCAUGGAUGCUUGAACAUGUACCAUAGGGACUAAAGUCUAUAGAGAUACUUAAUUUCUUUGUCUGAGUGAAAUAUGUUAAAACCAGCACCAUUCUGACUCCUGCGGGGAAUAGAUUAUUUACCUGGCUCAUUCCUUGGUUAAUGUGGUUAACCUCCAAUUGUUGUCAUUGAGAAAGAUAACAUAUAAAUCUGUUUCAAAGAGUUUAGUUCUCUGGAGUUUCAUAUAUUGGAGGUUUACUCUGUUUUCAGAUCAUAAUGAAUUAGAACCUGAAAAAUCUACAAUUAGGCCUGCCUCAAAUAAUAUGACCAAAAUCAUGUAAAUGAUGUGAAGAGUUAAAUGGCUUUGGAUGUAAGUAAAAAUCUUGUUUGUUACCUGGAUUCUACCCUAAGAAUUAAACUGUGACCCAAUAUUACUAGCCAGUUAUAAUGAUUAAAACUAUAUUGCUCGCUUCAUUUGUUUCCGGAAACAUAUAAAUAACAACUAUAUCUCUUUCAGAAUAUUACACUAAUUAAACAUAUACUUAGAGGAAUAUAGUAUUUUUCUGUAUUUAUUAAAGGUUCUAUAGGAGUUUUGACUAUUACAUAGGACAUACUAUUUCUAAAAGACUAUGAUGCAUCCUUAAAAUGAUGCUUGCAAUUCCCUAUAUAUUAUAGAAAAAAUACUUUUAUGUAAAAAUAAUACAGCGUUAUUAUGAGAAUUGAUCAUCCUAAUGCUACUUUUUGAGGGCCUAGUAAUCAGUAUUGCAUUGAUAUCUCGGUACCUGUCUUCAUGAGCUUUUUUUUUUUUUUCAGUUUUAUUGAGAAAUAACUGACAUAUCACUGUAUAAGUUUAGACAUACAAAAUGAUGGCUUGAUUUAUAUAUAUUGUGAAAUGAUUACCACAAUAGGUUCAGCUAAGAUCCAUCUUCUCAUACAGAUACAGUAAAAAGAAAAGACAAAGAGAAAAAUGUUCUCCUUGUGAUGAGAACUCAUAGGAUUUACUCUCUUAACAACCUUCCUAUAUAUCAUACGGCACAGUUAGCUAUAGUCACCAUGUUUUACAUUAAAUCCCUUGUAUUUAUUUAUCUCAUAACUAGAAGUUUAUAACUUGUGACUACCUUCCUCCAACUUCCCAUCCUCUGACUUUUUGCCUCUGAUAACCACAAGUCUGAUCUCUUUAUUCAGAGGUUUUGUUUGACUUUUUAGAUUCCACAUAUAAGUGAUAUUAUACAGUAUUUGUCUUCCUCUAACUUAUUUUACUUAACAUAAUGUCUUCAGGUCAAUCCACACUGUUGCAAAUGAUAGGAUUUCUUAAUUUUAUGUUUGAAUAAUAUUCCACACACACAUACACACACAUUGGAAUAUAUAGCUUUAUUAUAUGUUUUCUUCUUCACAUAUAAAUAUAUAUAUUAUCAUUAAUUUUUUUCUUCCACUAACUUUGGGCUCAAUUUUUUUCUUCUCUUCAUUUAUAUCCUCAGAUUCAGGAUGCUUAGCCAUUACCGCCUUAAAUAUAUUUUCUGUCCUUUGUCUUUCUUUUAUCCUUCUGGAAUUCCUAUAGGGAGAAUGUUGUUUCUUUUCAUUGUGUUCUGUAAUUCCUGAAGGCUUUCUUCACUCCUUCUUAUUCUUUUUUUUUCUCCUGUGACUAGGUAAUUUCCAAUGUCCUAUCUUUCCAGUUGCUGACUUUUCUCUAUGCUGCAUAGUUAAGCCUAUUUUUGAAACUACUGAAUUAUUCAGUACAGUUAUUUAUUUUAAUAUCUGUUUUAUUUUUUAUUAAUGGUUGCUAUCUCCUGUCAAACUUCUCAUUUUGUCCAUGUAAUAUUUUCCUAAUUUUGCUUUGUUAGCUGUGUUUUCUUGAGGUUUGUUAAACUUCCUUAAGAGGAUUACUCUGAAUUUUUUAUCUGACCUUUCAUUGAUCUUCAUUUCUUCAUAAUUAGUUGUUGGAGAUUUAUUACUUUACUUUUGUGUCAUAUUUACCCAUUUUUUUAUUAUUAUUAUCCUUGACUCUUUAUGUUGGUGUCUGUGCAUUUGAGUAAUUAGGCUUCUCUUCCAGACUUUACAAGUUUGAUUUUGCAGCUCUUCACCAGUCAGCUCAGUUAGAGUUUUUGAGUGUAUCUGAUGGUAGUAUCCUUGAGUAGGUGGGGCCUGCUAUUAUAGUCUAUUUGGGGGCAAGUUACUGUUUGAACUCUGAGAACAGAAAUGAGGAGGUGUCCCACUGGCUGAGAACAGUUGGAUAGGACUUCUGGCUUGGUUCUCUGCCAAGUUGAGGCUGUAGGAUGAGAGCUCUGAGCUCUGUGGUUGCCUGGACUCUACUGUCAGACUUAUUAGAUGGUCAGGACUGGGUACUAUAUUCAGUAGUAGAUUGGGCUGUGAAUUAUCUUCCCUGCCCUUGCAGGGCAGUAGGAUGAGACCCAGGGCCUGUACAGCUCAUUGUUGGAUUCUUGAAUCAGGCCUGAGUGUUCACUGAAUUCUCUGGUCAAGUGAGGCCCUGGUUUUGCUAUUCAGGUGAGGGAAGCCAUCAGCUGUGCUCUUGGUUCAAGUACCACUGUACAUUGAGCUACUGAAUGAGCUCUGCAGCUAUGCCUCUUUUCUGCUUAGAUUCCCAGCUUGAAUAGGCUGAAGGAUGGGCCAUAUUGAGCAAUGAAGAGCACUAUGAAUUGGAUUCCUCGACUGGUCAUAGAGAGAGAAGCAGCCCCAAAGCUCUCUGUUGUCUUGAGCUUACCUGCACUCCAAGUUCCCUGAAUGAACAGGGCCACUAGUUUUGCUCAGCAAACUAUCAUCUCUACCUCUUUGCUUGAGUGCCACUGGGCCACAUAGCCUCCAGGAGUUUCUGCCAGCCCUUCUUGUCAGGUGGGGCCAGAACAUACUCUCCACUUCUGGUAGAGUUAUGGGGAGAAUUGGGAGGGGCCACUCCAGGGUACUUUCAAUUUCUCAAAUGGACUCCUCGCUCAGGAGAGGCUGGGAAAAACCCUGUGUUAUCUAUGAAUUAAUUCCCCUACAUGUGCAUAGCACAGGGAUGCUCCAUAUCCAGUACUGGCUUUUCUCUCAGGGCAAUCUGUCUGCCUUCCUCUUGGUUUGAGCACUGCUGGACCACAUGGCUUCCAAGAGUUGUCACUAGCACAACUUCUGUUCAGAAGGAGCAGGAAGACACUCUCCAUAGCAGGUAGGGCUGUGAUUCAGCUUCUUACCUGGGCUUGAGUAAACUUAGAUCUAGGGCUGGCAAAAAUCCUUGCUUGAGGGUUCAAAUUAGGCCAUCAGCACCCUGCUGGGUUUCUUGGUCAGAGUGGUUCUGCAGAGAAGCAAAUUGCUGAAUAGGAUCACCACUUGGGCACUGUAGGUAUGAACUGCUGCCAAGAUCCAUGUACUAGUUGUUGCAGGCCCCUCCCCUUCUCUGUCUUAGUCAGACUAGCAGUGGUUGAGCCCCACAUAUUCCCCUGAAAUGCCUGUGGUGAGAGAUUGGAGUAGGGACUACUGCAAAGCAGCCCACAAUCCUGGAGCAGGAGGACUGGCAGUCCCCCAUAUUCUCUUUCACCACUGGAGGAAUCAGAGGCUCAAGGGAGACCUCCCUCUGGUGUUGCAGUGACCUGGGGGCGGGGCAAUGUGGUCAGUGUAUAGCUGCUUCUCUUACCUUUCUAAUGAAAUCUGUCUUGGCCUCUGUGAUGCAAGGGGUUGCUUCAAGUUCUGGGAUCCUCUAGGUUGCAUCUUGUUCUUCAAUUGUUGUUAGUCGUUAGUUCUUCUUCUGAGGGAGAGACAAGUCAGGAGCAAUGUCUGCUGACAUCUUUGUGAUGUCACCCCUUUGUGAGAUUUUACAAAUGUAAAUAAUGUUUUAAAUACACAAUUAUGUGCAAAAAUGGGCAGAAAAAAAUUGCAAAUUCCUUUGGAAUCCUGAGUAUGGAGGUGAAAGGGAACUGGCACAGUCAAAGAAAGAUUCGAGGAGUAAAAUUUAACCUGGUCCUCAAAGACUGGUUAAGAUUUGAAUAGAUAAGGAAAUUGUGAGCAUCACUCUCAUUAAAAAGAAUUGCUCUUUACAAUUCCUACUUACUGUCUGGAAAAAGCAAGUCUCACCAAGAAGCUCUAAAAUGACAGCAGAGGAUAAGAAAAUGAUGUUCUCUCUACUAAGGACCUUUUCUUCCAGAAAGGAACUAUGUCUUUUGAUACUUUGCUUAGAAAAAAGGGAAGGUUAGAUGAGUUUCAUUAAAAAUAAAAAUAGGAGUUCCCAUUGUGGCACAGCAGAAAUGAAUCCGACUAGGAACCAUGAGGUUGCAGGUUUGAUCCCUGGCCUCGCUCAGUGGGUUAAGGAUCCAGCAUUGCCACGAGUUGUGGUGUAGGUCACAAAUGCGGCUCAGAUCUGGCAUUGCUGUGGCUGUGGCGUAGGCCGGCGGCUACAGCUCCUAUUAGACCCCUAGCCUGGGAACCUCCAUGUACCAUGG